This 223-nucleotide unclassified non-coding RNA is filed under the name Hevea brasiliensis (rubber tree). Lineage: Eukaryota; Viridiplantae; Streptophyta; Magnoliopsida; Malpighiales; Euphorbiaceae. The record is from RNAcentral.
UGAGGAAAUCAGAGGCAGAGGAGACUUCCCCAAAUAAAACCGUACGGACGGGCACUGUUGCUGUUGCUUAAUUAAGGAAUGCAAAGCCAAUUUUGAAUUUCCAUGAUCCAAUGUGAAAAUUGAGAUGUUUAUUCUUCUUGAAUCUUGAUCUGUAAAGAACUGAUGGAUGAGAGCUAAUUAAGGUUUGAGAAAUGGGAAUAGAGGAAUUAAGAGCCAUCCCCGA